CAUGAAGCUGGAUUCGCUAGUAAUCGCGCAUCAGCCACGGCGCGGUGAAUACGUUCCCGGGCCUUGUACACACCGCCCGUCAAGCCAUGGAAGCCGGGAGUGCCUGAAGUGCGUGACCGCAAGGAGCGCCCUAAGGCAAUACCGGUGACUGGGGCUAAGUCGUAACAAGGUAGC
RNAcentral lists this ribosomal RNA (174 nucleotides) under uncultured bacterium. Its description in RNAcentral is "partial 16S ribosomal RNA". It matches the Rfam family "Bacterial small subunit ribosomal RNA", at positions 1319 to 1500 of the family's 1533-position model. The record is from RNAcentral.